UGCAACAUUGUAUUCAAUUUGUAGACGGGU
RNAcentral lists this non-coding RNA (30 nucleotides) under Rattus norvegicus (Norway rat). The record is from RNAcentral. Lineage: Eukaryota; Metazoa; Chordata; Mammalia; Rodentia; Muridae.